Molecule: ribosomal RNA, 497 nt
Filed under: uncultured bacterium
Lineage: Bacteria
Description: partial 16S ribosomal RNA
Rfam family: Bacterial small subunit ribosomal RNA
Source: RNAcentral
GAUGAACGCUGGCGGCGUGCCUAAUACAUGCAAGUCGAGCGAACAGAUAAGGAGCUUGCUCCUUUGACGUUAGCGGCGGACGGGUGAGUAACACGUGGGUAACCUACCUAUAAGACUGGAAUAACUCCGGGAAACCGGGGCUAAUGCCGGAUAACAUGUUGAACCGCAUGGUUCUACAGUGAAAGGCGGCUUUGCUGUCACUUAUAGAUGGACCCGCGCCGUAUUAGCUAGUUGGUGAGGUAACGGCUCACCAAGGCAACGAUACGUAGCCGACCUGAGAGGGCGAUCGGCCACACUGGAACUGAGACACGGUCCAGACUCCUACGGGAGGCAGCAGUAGGGAAUCUUCCGCAAUGGGCGAAAGCCUGACGGAGCAACGCCGCGUGAGUGAUGAAGGUCUUCGGAUCGUAAAACUCUGUUAUUAGGGAAGAACAAAUGCGUAAGUAACUGUGCGCGUCUUGACGGUACCUAAUCAGAAAGCCACGGCUAACUACGUG